This is a long non-coding RNA of Meriones unguiculatus (Mongolian gerbil), 3006 nucleotides long. RefSeq lists it as uncharacterized. The transcript is spliced from 9 exons. The record is from RefSeq and is a predicted model, not a curated record. Lineage: Eukaryota; Metazoa; Chordata; Mammalia; Rodentia; Muridae.
UCCAACCAGUGACAUUUCCAUCCUGUUCCUCCACCUUCUCUUCACACCUUGGCAUCUGAGGGACCAGUGUCUCCUGUGUCUGAUCUACCAUUGUACAGCCUGCCAGCACAGCCCAGGUGGACAGCAGCCUCCUGGUGCUCAGCAGGGCAGGCAACCCUAGCUUGCUCCACCAGGGCACAAACUGAAGUCUUGAGAAGGGGGACAAACCCCAUGUCACACAGCCCUCAGAGCAGAGAGGUUGGGGAAACAACAGCCCUGACCCUGAACUGAGGAAAGUCCUGUGGCCUGAACACUCCUGGGCCCCUCUGCUUCACCUCAGCCCGACCCUGCUGCAGAGUCUGCCUCGUGUUAGAUGGGAGCCUGGCAUAACUGUCCUCUGAGAGACUCCACCCAGCAGCAGAGCAGAACAGGUGCCGAGACCCAUAGCCAAAUAUUAGGCAGAGCUCGGGGAGCCUUGCGGAAGGAUAGAAGGACAUGAAGGUGAUAAGAACUCCACAAGGAAACCUGGCUGUGACAGCUGAAGGUCUGCUGGGCUGUGGGACAAGUGAAGACUAAAUGCUGCUCUUGUCUGACCCCUGAAGAGCGUCUGCUUCUGUGCUGAAUCACGUAAGCCUCAAAGGACUGUGAGCAUGCCCACAGGACAACUUGAGCUGGACAAUCCCUCACUGAGACUCUUCCCACAAGAUUCCAGAUUUGUGCCAAGAGGACAGCUGAAACUAACCAUCUCAUCCCCCUCUACCAAAAUGGCUCAGCACCUUGAAUCUGUCCAGAUCAUCGCCACUGACCUCAAUAUUGUUUAAAGGUGGGUGGCUGUCAGUAAGGCUCAGUAGUUCCUGCGGAUCUGGGCAAUCUCUUUCAUCUUUCCCUCCAGCUCCUGAGGCGAGUCUUUGGCGGGCUCUGAUUUUGAUCCCUUACCCACCGCUGCCCUGGCAAUUCUCAGACAAAUCCAGGAUCAGCUGCUGGUCUUUGUUCAUCUCAAGAGGACAGGGGCUAUGGAGGGCACAGGCGCCGGACCACCCAGGAAGAGUCACCUUCCCUCCAGGCUGCCCUUCCUUCUGGGCUUUGUAUUUCUUCAGACAUGAGUUUCCAGAUUUGGAGUCUGUAACACAGUGACUGAGUGACCCAGUGAGCAACCACACACCAGGAAGGCUGAUGAUAUUAGGAGUUCUUCCCAAAGAAACCAGUAUGACAGCACAGCUGCUGUCUCCUUACCUCUUGUGUCCUGUUUUAUAGGCUACAGGACCCCAGCAGCUUACAGGCAGAAAGCCUGGGAUUUGGAGUUGACAGGAUCUGGCUAACUCCGUUUUGAGACUGGAGCCAAAGCUGGGCCAAAGUUCUUGCCACCCUCCCCCCUUUCCUGAUUGAUGAGUUCCUGGAAAAACUAUAGGAGAUGGACAUCCAAACAACAACUUCCCUGACAUCUGGCCUGGGCCUAAACUAGAUAUGAGGUUGGUGUUGGGUUUUGGACUGGACUGCUGACAUCCAGAGAAAGAAGAGUGGACUCAACUGAGAGGACACCACAGUGAGAGAGAAAACCAGGACAAUGUCCAUGAAAGCUGGGGGGCUGGGCACGAUGGAGACCCACUGAUGAGGGCACAGAGUCAGCUGGAGCACUAAGACACUCCUGAAGAGAGUCAGUGCGGGGCCACAGGACCAGGCUUGCAGAUUCAGCUCAAAGAGACAAAUAAGGAUCUCAACCUCCAGGCUGCUGGGAAGUCAUCUGCAGCCGGCACAGUAACCGGCCUGCAGGGAUGUGCGCUUGCCUGAGGAGCUCCACCACAAGACCGCAGGAGCUGAGCCUCGCAGUUUUUAAAAACCUGAAUAAGGAACACUCUCCAGUCUGAAGCUGGGUCCUGCCCCAUGGAUGUCUUCUUGGCAGCUUUUAACCUGAGCUUUGGUUCUCUGCUCAACUAUACCUACAAGGUUGCUUUUGGUCACCAUGUCUGUCACAGCAACCGAAACCCUACCUCAGCCAGUAUCAGAAAGACAGAAGACGGUAAUUGAGACUGUUGCCCCAGACUUGGCCACUUUUCUUCCUCUUAAAACUGAUGGAAAAUAGAAACCCAAAUGCCUCUGGGCCGUGAGUGAGGCUGCAGGCCGUUUUGCCUGCUGUCUGUUUCCUGCAGGUGCCCAGAUCCCGUUCCCUUCCUGGCUGGAGCUCACAGGGCAGCAUCUGAGAGCAGCAGAGCCGACACCACCCUGGCUUUAUGAUGACUCCACCCUCCCUCACUCCCGACCCACCAACUGGCAAGUCUAGUUCACAGUUUACAGACAGAGGACACCAGGUACCAUAGCUACUGACAGCGUCACCUUGGAACCUAAGCAACCUCCCACAGUAUUUGGGAGCCUUGACUCACCUGAGACUAGCUAUAAGAACACAGGGGUGAAAAUCCUGGUCUGAGGCCAUGUGGAUGUGGGCGUGCCUCUUCCUUUAGGUCAGCAAGGGGAAAGCAGGAAUCAGGAAGACCUAAGUGCGACCUCAUUUCCACCACUCACAAAGGUCCUGCCCCAUGGAUAUCUUCUUGGCGGCUUUUAACCUGAGCCUUGGUUCUCAGCUCAACUAUACCUACAAGGUGAACCAUCUUCCGUGACAGGCUUCUGCUUGAAGAUUCUCAGCCCUGUGGUUGGUGUACAAGAGUUUGUAGACUGUGGUUGGCAUGUGGGCUGGGUAGUUCUUUGCCAACUAGCACAGGGCAGAGGUAUUUAAGAGAGUAUUAAGAACUACGGUUGACAAAAAGGCUUCCUAAGAUCAGGCCGUGGGCAAGUCUGUAGGUAUUUCCCUAACAGUGAUUGGUGCUGGGGCAUCCAGCACACUGUGGGUGGUACCUCUGGGCUGCCAUAAGCAAAAUGGCUGAGCAAGGCAUGGGAGGGAGCCAGAGAGCAACAGUGCCUCCUGGGCUCUAGGUCAGCUCCUGCCUCCAGUUACUGCCCUGUUGGAGUUCCUGCUGUGACUCCCUUCGCUGAUGGACUAUCAUGUGGAAGCUGAAUAAAAAUGAACCCUUUCCA